AUCGAACGCUGGCGGCAGGCCUAACACAUGCAAGUCGAACGAGUGGCGGACGGGUGAGUAAUGUAUGGGAACCUGCCUGAUGGAGGGGGAUAAAUACUGGAAACGGUGGCUAAUACCGCAUACCAUCAGAUGUGCUCAGAUGGGCUUAGCUUGUUGUGGGGGUAACGGCUCACAAAGGCGACGAUCCCUAGCUGGUCUGAGAGGAUGACCAGCCAAACUGGAACUGAGACACGGUCCAGACUCCUCCGGGAGGCAGCAGUGGGGAAUAUUGCACAAUGGGCGCAAGCCUGAUGCAGCCAUGCCGCGUGUAUGAAGAAGGCCUUCGGGUUGUAAAGUACUGUCAGCGGGGAGGCGUUACCCGCAGAAGAAGCACCGGCUAACUCCGUGCCAGCAGCCGCGGUAAUUC
RNAcentral lists this ribosomal RNA (406 nucleotides) under uncultured bacterium. Its description in RNAcentral is "partial 16S ribosomal RNA". It matches the Rfam family "Bacterial small subunit ribosomal RNA", at positions 30 to 526 of the family's 1533-position model. The record is from RNAcentral.